This 498-nucleotide ribosomal RNA is filed under the name Triticum aestivum (bread wheat). RNAcentral's name for it is "partial small subunit ribosomal RNA". Lineage: Eukaryota; Viridiplantae; Streptophyta; Magnoliopsida; Poales; Poaceae. The record is from RNAcentral.
AUGGCCGCCACGGCAGCGGCCGCCCCCCCGCCCCCUCAGCCCCUCGCCGGCCCUGGCGUGACGCCCCCCCACCUCCGCGGCGCCGCCCGCCCGAGCUCGUCCGCGGAAAGGAACGAGGAGGAGAAAGAUCGCUGCUCCGGGGCGGAUCUUCGCCGGCGGCUGGUUCCCCGGGGGGUUUCUUCCGGCUCUCGAUCCCUCGCCGCGGUCGCCGCCCGGGCGCGCGUCCUGCUCUCCUGCGCGGGGCCCUUCCGCCUCCACGGCCGCCAGGUGGCCGCGGCCUGCGCCGAGGCGGGGGCCGACUGCCUCGACAUCUCCGGCGAGCCCGAGUUCAUGGAGCGCGUCGAGGCCGACCUCCACGAGGUCGCCGCCAAGAACGGGUCGCUGAUUGUCUCCGCCUGCGGGUUUGACUCCAUCCCCGCGGAGCUCGGGUUCUUGUUCAACUCCAGGCAGUGGACGCCGCCCUCCGCGCCGCUCGGUCUCGUCGGCGUCAACUGCUGA